This 253-nucleotide ribosomal RNA is filed under the name uncultured bacterium. Its description in RNAcentral is "partial 16S ribosomal RNA". It matches the Rfam family "Bacterial small subunit ribosomal RNA", at positions 524 to 776 of the family's 1533-position model. The record is from RNAcentral.
UACGGAGGGUGCAAGCGUUAUCCGGAUUCACUGGGUUUAAAGGGUGCGUAGGCGGGCAGGUAAGUCAGUGGUGAAAUCUCCGGGCUUAACCCGGAAACUGCCGUUGAUACUAUCUGUCUUGAAUAUAGUGGAGGUGAGCGGAAUAUGUCAUGUAGCGGUGAAAUGCUUAGAUAUGACAUAGAACACCCAUUGCGAAGGCAGCUCGCUACACUAUCAUUGACGCUGAGGCACGAAAGCGUGGGGAUCAAACAGG